GUAGGUGAACCUGCGGAAGGAUCAUUAAAAAUGAAGCCGGGAAACCGGUCCUUCUAACCCUUGAUUAUCUCAAUUUGUUGCUUUGGAGGGCCGCGCAAGCACCGGCUUCGGCCGGCGAGCGCUUGCCAGAGGACCUAAACUCUGUUUGUCGAUAAUGUCUGAGUACUAUAUAAUAGUUAAAACUUUCAACAACGGAUCUCUUGGUUCUG
This 209-nucleotide unclassified non-coding RNA is filed under the name rhizosphere metagenome. RNAcentral's name for it is "partial ribosomal RNA internal transcribed spacer region". The record is from RNAcentral.